Molecule: ribosomal RNA, 420 nt
Filed under: bacterium
Lineage: Bacteria
Description: partial 16S ribosomal RNA
Rfam family: Bacterial small subunit ribosomal RNA
Source: RNAcentral
UGGGGGAUAUUGCACAAUGGGCGAAAGCCUGAUGCAGCGACGCCGCGUGGGGGAUGAAGGCUUUCGGGUUGUAAACCUCUUUCGCUAUCGAACAAGGCCCGCUUAGGGUGGGUUGAGGGUAGGUGGAGAAGAAGCGCCGGCUAACUACGUGCCAGCAGCCGCGGUAAUACGUAGGGCGCGAGCGUUGUCCGGUAUUAUUGGGCGUAAAGGGCUUGUAGGCGGCUUGUUGCGCCUGCUGUGAAAACGCGGGGCUUAACUUCGCGCGUGACGUGGGUACGGGCAGGCUUGAGUGUGGUAGGGGUGACUGGAAUUCCAGGUGUAGCGGUGGAAUGCGCAGAUAUCUGGAGGGACACCGAUGGCGAAGGCAGGUCACUGGGCCAUUACUGACGCUGAGGAGCGAAAGCAUGGGUAGCGAACAGG